Molecule: long non-coding RNA, 298 nt
Filed under: Monodelphis domestica (gray short-tailed opossum)
Lineage: Eukaryota; Metazoa; Chordata; Mammalia; Didelphimorphia; Didelphidae
Description: lncRNA (ENSMODG00000049379.1)
Source: RNAcentral
GAGACGAGAUUUGUAAUCAGAAGAAUCAUCAGAAGCCAACCUGUACAACCCUCUCAUCUUACUGAUGAGGAAACUGAGACCCAGGGAGGCUAAUUAAAUUGACCACAAUCACACAGAACAAAGAAAAAAGAAAACAACAACAAUCCCAUCCUUGAAGGAGUGAAUAACCUUACUUAGGAGAUGAGACUAAAAUACAGAAAUAUAUAUUUAUCUAUGUAUGUACACAUAUGUGAAUAAAUAUAUACAUUUGCAAUUGAGGAUCAUAUACAGGAUUGUCAAGCUUAAAGAAAUGAUCUUC